Molecule: ribosomal RNA, 375 nt
Filed under: Triticum aestivum (bread wheat)
Lineage: Eukaryota; Viridiplantae; Streptophyta; Magnoliopsida; Poales; Poaceae
Description: partial small subunit ribosomal RNA
Source: RNAcentral
AUGGCGGGAGCGUUUGAGUUGUACUGGCAGUCCGCCAUCGGCAGGGCCGUCAUGGAGACGCUGGACGAGAUGGUCCUUAGCCCCGAUCAUGCCAUCAGCGUCCAAGUACAGUUCGAUGAGUUCAUGAGCACUGGACAACCAGCUCAAGAGCAAGGCCUUCUUCAAUGGAAGAUGCAGAUGACUUGUGUGCUUGAUUAUGGUUGGCUUGUGUGCUUAAUUAUGAAGUUAAUUACUCGGCCGCCACAGGGAAUUAUUCUUUUGGGAUCAUAUUUAUUCUCCGCAAAAAGUAAUCUCAACUUGCUUAAAGGCCACAUUUGGCAGUUGCUUAAACCUUCUGGACAAGACACACAAACAUACAACUAUGUGACAACUUAA